RNAcentral lists this ribosomal RNA (101 nucleotides) under uncultured bacterium. RNAcentral's name for it is "partial 16S ribosomal RNA". The record is from RNAcentral.
GUAAACUUCUUUUUUUCGGGACGAAAAGGUCUGGGUUAAUACCCUGGGCUCCUGACGGUUCCGUAAGAAUAAGCACCGGCUAACUACGUGCCAGCAGCCGC